Molecule: ribosomal RNA, 253 nt
Filed under: uncultured bacterium
Lineage: Bacteria
Description: partial 16S ribosomal RNA
Rfam family: Bacterial small subunit ribosomal RNA
Source: RNAcentral
UACGAAGGGGGCUAGCGUUGUUCGGAGUUACUGGGCGUAAAGGGCGCGUAGGCGGCGCACCAAGUCAGGCGUGAAAGCCCUGGGCUCAACCCGGGAAUUGCGCUUGAGACUGGUGUGCUUGAGUACGGGAGAGGAUAGUGGAAUUCCCAGUGUAGAGGUGAAAUGCGCAGAUAUCAGGAGGAACACCAAUGGCGAAGGCAGCUCGCUGGGACGGUACUGACACUGAGACGCGAAAGCGUGGGGAGCAAACAGG